AAUGAGAUGCCUGAUCAAAAGGACUAUUUUGAUAGAAUAGAUCAUGUGGCUAAACCACUCUCAUUU
This 66-nucleotide transfer RNA is filed under the name Anthonomus pomorum (apple weevil). RNAcentral describes it as "tRNA-Ile". Lineage: Eukaryota; Metazoa; Arthropoda; Insecta; Coleoptera; Curculionidae. The record is from RNAcentral.